RNAcentral lists this ribosomal RNA (493 nucleotides) under uncultured bacterium. RNAcentral describes it as "partial 16S ribosomal RNA". It matches the Rfam family "Bacterial small subunit ribosomal RNA", at positions 30 to 507 of the family's 1533-position model. The record is from RNAcentral.
AUUGAACGCUGGCGGCAUGCUUUACACAUGCAAGUCGAACGGCAACGAGGAGAAGCUUGCUUCUCUGUCGGCGAGUGGCGAACGGGUGAGUAUAGCAUCGGAACGUGCCAAGUAGUGGGGGAUAACCAAACGAAAGUUUGGCUAAUACCGCGUAAGCUCCAAGGAGGAAAGUAGGGGACCUAAAUAAGGCCUUACGCUAUUUGAUCGGCCGAUGUCGGAUUAGCUAGUUGGUGGGGUAAUGGCUCACCAAGGCAAUGAUCCGUAGCGGGUCUGAGAGGACGAUCCGCCACACUGGGACUGAGACACGGCCCAGACUCCUACGGGAGGCAGCAGUGGGGAAUUUUGGACAAAGGGGGAAACCCUGAUCCAGCCAUGCCGCGUGUAUGAAGAAGGCCUUAGGGUUGUAAAGUACUUUUGUUAGGGAAGAAAAGCUAGUUUUUAAUAAAAAUUAGUGAUGACGGUACCUAAAGAAUAAGCACCGGCUAACUACGUG